Long non-coding RNA from Bicyclus anynana (squinting bush brown), 1709 nucleotides. RefSeq lists it as uncharacterized. The record is from RefSeq and is a predicted model, not a curated record. The transcript has 3 exons. Lineage: Eukaryota; Metazoa; Arthropoda; Insecta; Lepidoptera; Nymphalidae.
GCCGGAGAUCGAACCCAGUCUCUUCUUAUAAAUUACCCGCGCAUGCCACUGCGCCACGGAGGCCGUUAGCAUUUAAAUACCAUAUUAUAUUACUUAUUUAAUUAUCUCCUUCGUGCCUUCUCCAUCUACUCGAUACCGGCGAGAUAAACUGUGUUCAGUUGUCACGAAUGAAAGUCAUAUAGAACAAUCUAAUUGAAUAAUUUAAAAUUUAACAAGAUAUUUUUGCGUUAUUAAUAAAUCUCAAAAUGUUGUCUAUAAAACAAUAGUUUUGCAGGAAGAAACUCGACAGAUAUUUCAUUAAUGAAUUCAAUUUAAUCGUAAUAGCACCUCUUGAUAAGCUCUUCGAAACUCUCCCCCCGGGGCGACCCCUAAUUCCUUCGCUAUAUCCGCAUAGGUCUUAAGCAACAUCGCGUGGAGCAUUCCAGAAACCAACCCCUGUCCCUUAACUGCAUGUCUGUAAGAAAAUAUGUCAUAUUUUUUUUAUAGUUUAAUUAAAAAAUAGAGCUUUAAUAACUCAGUGGAUCUGCCUCCGAUUCCGGAUUGCGUAGGUUCGAAUCCGGUUCGGGGCAUGCACCUCCAACUUUUCUGUUAUGUGCUUUUUAAGAAAUUAAAUAUCACGUAUCUCAAACGGUAAAAGAAAAACAUCGUGAGAAAACCUGAUAAUUUUCCUAAUUCUCUAUGUGUGUGAAGUCUGCCAAUCCCUUUGACACCUAUAUAUAUGGACCUGUGGCAUUUUACGUCAAAAUUGGUCAAGGAUUUAACUUUUUACAGAAUAAACAAAAUUUUUUCGUAACCUCUCUAACUUAAAGAAAGCUACCUUAAUGGAGCGAGAUAGAUAUUUUUUUAGUCAUUGCUUAAAGAGGUUAGACAUAUUUUACAUGACAACAUCAAUUAUGUCAGUUGUGACCAAAUUAUCUUUUGUUUUUAGUGACCAAAAAUGGCUAUUGUUGUGGUUCCGGUGUAACGUUAUUCGAAUUAUUACGGAAAUAAUAACCAAUAAGCUUGUGAAUCGCAAAAUAAAUUAAAUUUAUACAAUGGUGAAGUGUGCAGUUGUUGCCUGCACCAACAAAACCCAAACAAAACUAGCGGAAUUUCAUUUCACAAAUUUCCAAAAAAUCAAAAUUUAAGACAAAAAUGGCUAAACAGCAUUAACAGGCCAUAUUUCAAGCCAUCACGAUACAGCUGCAUAUGUAGUGAUCAUUGUGUCCAUCUAUCCCGAAUUUAUCACCUGAGCAACAAGUAAGACAACCCUUGCAAGAAGUGAAUCUUAAUCUGUUAUCAGAGAGUCAUGACAAUGCUGUUUCCCAAAAUGGAAUACAAGUAUUGUAUUGUAUUGUCAAAAACAUUCUUAAAAACUAAAAUUUUCUUGUAAUUACGUCUCAAAAAAAUAUGAAAAAAAAAAUUUGUCUGAUAGAACGAUAAUCAAAUUUUAAAAGACCAUUUAUAAAAAAGUGUCAACUAGCUAUUACUUUUUGUUAUGUAUAACGUCCUUGUAUCAAAAAUUGUAAGUUUUGCAACUUCUAUACGGUUCGUAUCGUACUGAGAAGAGAACGUAUUCGUUUUUUAAUUUCAUAUUCGUAGCGGGUACGACACCGUCAUGUUCCGUACGCUCCAUCUGUAUAUUAUUGAUUAAUCUGUGUUAGAUACAAAACAAUUUAAUGAGAAAAUCAAUUGUAUGGAAUUUUAUAUUAUAAUAAUGUAAGACAGAA